GUCACCAUCGACCUGCAGAGAUCACAAAGGAGCUUUACAUGGCCCUGCAGGCUGUUUUGGUUCCUUUGUGAUCUGCGGCCUCAGGAGACCUUUGUGCAGCUGGACAUUUCCCCAGGCUACUGCUGGCCCUUCCAAGCAUCGGGGAGCCAAGUGGUCGUUACGUUGCCCGCACAAGUCCAACCAACCGCGAUCACUGUGCAGCACCCCUUGAAGAAGUCCUCUGCACUCGGGGACACCAGCAGUGCCCCUCGAGAUUUCACCGUCUCUGGACUGGAUGAGGAAGGAAAAGAGGAGACUCUGCUGGGGACAUUCAGCUAUGAUAUCAAGAAAGCGCCGGCCCAGACCUUCCCUCUGCAGCGUGAGCUUCCCAGAGCCUUUCAGCGCAUCAGGCUUCUCAUCCAGAGCAACUGGGGGAAGUCACGCUACACCUGCAUUUAUCGAGUGCAGGUUCAUGGGAAGGUAAAGGAAAUGAAC
Long non-coding RNA from Columba livia (rock pigeon), 474 nucleotides. RefSeq lists it as uncharacterized. The record is from RefSeq and is a predicted model, not a curated record. The transcript has 4 exons. Lineage: Eukaryota; Metazoa; Chordata; Aves; Columbiformes; Columbidae.